GUCGCCUUUAAAACGAAACAAAAAAAUGAGUAAGAUGUUCCACUUAGCGCUAAGUGGCAUCAGAGAAGCCAUAACUAAAAUCAGACCCACAGGCGACUCAAGGUUUAGAAAUUCAAAACCCAAACGAAUCGAAAGCUUAGACGAUAGGGCCCCGAGAUGACGAGAAUUGAUAGUAGUCAGAGCUACGAGCAGAGUGACGACAUUGGCAGUUGAUGUACAUACCCUCAGUUGGUAACCCACACGGACAUAGGGCUUAAUUAGCCGGUUGUGGUGGUACAUCAUAAUUCCAUAGUGGUUUCUGUUCUGACUGAAGCCAAAGGUGAUUUUGAUUGGCUUGGUCUGAGGCAAAGGUCAAGGGUAUAAAAUGUUUAAAUCACUAGUAAACCAUCAGAUCUAAUAAAUUGCUACCACGCAGGCUA
This is a long non-coding RNA of Nematostella vectensis (starlet sea anemone), 419 nucleotides long. RefSeq lists it as uncharacterized. The transcript is spliced from 2 exons. Lineage: Eukaryota; Metazoa; Cnidaria; Anthozoa; Actiniaria; Edwardsiidae. The record is from RefSeq and is a predicted model, not a curated record.